UACGUAGGGUGCGAGCGUUGUCCGGAAUUAUUGGGCGUAAAGGGCUCGUAGGCGGCCUGUCGCGUCGGGAGUGAAAGCCCACUGCUUAACGGUGGGUCUGCUUCCGGUACGGGCGGGCUAGAGUAUGGCAGGGGAGACUGGAAUUCCUGGUGUAGCGGUGGAAUGCGCAGAUAUCAGGAGGAACACCGGUGGCGAAGGCGGGUCUCUGGGCCAUUACUGACGCUGAGGAGCGAAAGCGUGGGGAGCGAACAGG
RNAcentral lists this ribosomal RNA (253 nucleotides) under uncultured bacterium. Its description in RNAcentral is "partial 16S ribosomal RNA". It matches the Rfam family "Bacterial small subunit ribosomal RNA", at positions 524 to 776 of the family's 1533-position model. The record is from RNAcentral.